UAGAGUUUGAUCCUGGCUCAGGACGAACGCUGGCGGCAUGCCUAAUACAUGCAAGUCGAGCGGACUUGAAGAGAAGCUUGCUUCUCGAUAGUUAGCGGCGGACGGGUGAGUAACACGUAGGCAACCUGCCCUCAAGCUUGGGACAACUACCGGAAACGGUAGCUAAUACCGAAUAGUUGUUUUCUUCUCCUGAAGAAAACUGGAAAGACGGAGCAAUCUGUCACUUGGGGAUGGGCCUGCGGCGCAUUAGCUAGUUGGUGGGGUAACGGCUCACCAAGGCGACGAUGCGUAGCCGACCUGAGAGGGUGAUCGGCCACACUGGGACUGAGACACGGCCCAGACUCCUACGGGAGGCAGCAGUAGGGAAUCUUCCGCAAUGGGCGAAAGCCUGACGGAGCAAUGCCGCGUGAGUGAUGAAGGUUUUCGGAUCGUAAAGCUCUGUUGCCAGGGAAGAACGCUUGGGAGAGUAACUGCUCUCAAGGUGACGGUACCUGAGAAGAAAGCCCCGGCUAACUACGUGCCAGCAGCCGCGGUAAUACGUAGGGGGCAAGCGUUGUCCGGAAUUAUUGGGCGUAAAGCGCGCGCAGGCGGUCAUUUAAGUCUGGUGUUUAAUCCCGGGGCUCAACCCCGGAUCGCACUGGAAACUGGGUGACUUGAGUGCAGAAGAGGAGAGUGGAAUUCCACGUGUAGCGGUGAAAUGCGUAGAUAUGUGGAGGAACACCAGUGGCGAAGGCGACUCUCUUGGGCUGUAACGACGCUGAGGC
RNAcentral lists this ribosomal RNA (764 nucleotides) under Paenibacillus taichungensis. Its description in RNAcentral is "bacterial SSU rRNA". It matches the Rfam family "Bacterial small subunit ribosomal RNA", at positions 1 to 752 of the family's 1533-position model. Lineage: Bacteria; Bacillati; Bacillota; Bacilli; Caryophanales; Paenibacillaceae. The record is from RNAcentral.